RNAcentral lists this ribosomal RNA (500 nucleotides) under uncultured bacterium. Its description in RNAcentral is "partial 16S ribosomal RNA". It matches the Rfam family "Bacterial small subunit ribosomal RNA", at positions 30 to 523 of the family's 1533-position model. The record is from RNAcentral.
AUUGAACGCUGGCGGAAUGCUUUACACAUGCAAGUCGAACGGCAGCACGGACUUCGGUCUGGUGGCGAGUGGCGAACGGGUGAGUAACAUAUCGGAACGUAUCCAAUAAUGGGGGAUAACUAAUCGAAAGGUUGGCUAAUACCGCAUACGCCCUACGGGGGAAAGCAGGGGAUCUUCGGACCUUGCGUUAAUGGAGCGGCUGAUAUCUGAUUAGCUAGUUGGUGAGGUAAAGGCUCACCAAGGCGACGAUCAGUAGCUGGUCUGAGAGGACGACCAGACACACUUGAACUGAGAGACGGUCCAGACUCCUACGGGAGGCAGCAGUGGGGAAUUUUGGACAAUGGGCGCAAGCCUGAUCCAGCCAUUCCGCGUGAGUGAAGAAGGCCUUCGGGUUGUAAAGCUCUUUCGCAAGGGAAGAAAACUUACUUUCUAAUAAAGAGUGAGGUUGACGGUACCUUGAUAAGAAGCACCGGCUAACUACGUGCCAGCCGCCGCGGUAA